CUCCCCGCUCCCUAGUUAUUCCCUCGGGUCUCCAUCCUCCCUGCAACCCCAGCCAAAUCCGUGAGGAGGGGGUGUUCCUCCCCAGAGAUCACAGUGCACAGGCAUCCUGCCAGGCUGAAGAGGGGUCAGCUCCUCUCACAAGAACAGGAAAUGCUAAGAGAAGGACCUCCCAUCUUUGCCCUCUUUCUCUGAGCUCUGGGCUCCGAGGCGUGGGCUGGCAGCAAAGGCAGAGAUCCAGCCUAAGUGUUGUGUGCUCAGAGUGGGGAGAGAGCCAGAGAGCCUUUCCCCAUUUACGGGAGCCUGGAGCCUUCCAGGCUGACCAGGGGAGCUCAGCAAUAAUUCAGGGGCUCCAGCUUGUUGGAAUCUAUUGCCAGGAAACAAGGAGGCAGGCACGUGCAUCCCUGGGGAGAGGAAUCAGUUUCCUGCCCUAACACAGCAGUGAAAUGUAAGCCCAGGGCGCCGACUGGGGGCCUUGGGACCCUCCCACUCCAGUUCACAGAGACUCCGUGGGGACAUAGGGUGGGGCCCUGCUGAGGGCAAGCUGGUAUGGCUCCAGUCACAAGGACUUUGUAAAUGGACUUUGUGAAUAGAAGAGGAUUUUUCUGGAGCCAUUCCAAGAGAUCAACUUCAAGUACUCCUAGGCCCAGGAAGGAGACCUCUGUGGAAAGAGAUGUCUUUGUUAUUUUUGGCUAAUGUGACAAGGGGCUGAGGCAGCAGAAGCCUGUUCUGCCCCACCCACACCCCAGAUUCCUCUGGAUCAGGUUCACUUGCAGGGCACUGUGCCAGCUGGGGAGGCUGGUACAUCUUUAAUGAAGUCACCCGAUCCUGGAACAAGCUCUUGGCCUCACCAAGUUCCUGGCGCCAGACCACUGGGUGCCCACUGAGCCACUGCCUUCCCAUGCCUGUGUGCCAGGCCCGUUUCCCCUGCAGCCAUGAACCAGGCCUUCUGGAAAACUUACAAGUCCAAAGUGCUACAGACCCUGAGUGGGGAAUCUGAGGAGGACCUGGCAGAGGAGAGGGAGAACCCAGCGUUAGUGGAGUCUGAGACAGCAGGACCCACUGAAGAGGCCUUCAGUCCCAUGUCACAGCUGGCUCGCCGGGUUCAGGGCGUCGGGGUGAAAGGUUGGUUGACAAUGUCAUCUCUGUUUAACAAAGAAGAUGAGGACAAACUGCUGCCACCGGAGCCCUGUGCUGACCAGUAUGUGUGUGUUGGGGGGAGGGUUCUGGGAUGGGCCUGGGUCCUCCUUCUCCCAUGUCCUUCCCAUCUGGUCUAUUUGUCUGUCUGUCUGACCACGGUGGGUUGGGGAGGGCCAGCCUCUGGCUGUUUCUGUUUCUCUUAGCAGGAAAGAGGCCAAAUCAGCAUAUCUGGGAGAUUAGGUUAGAUCUCAGGAGGAAUUUACCAGCUGUUGGGAUUGAGGUGCUAGAAGGUAUUAUGGACUCUCUCCCUCCAUCCACGAGGGAGGGGUCAUCUCCUUAGAAUCAGGGAACCAGGGAACCAAGAGGAGAACUUUUAGGUGUCUGGAACAGAGGGUAGUCCAGAUCAGUGGUUCCCAAAUAUUGGUUUAAAUCCUCAUCCUCCCAGGGAGCUUGUGACAAACACAGAUUUCCAGACUCUCCUUCAAAGCUUCUGAUUCAGCAGGUGUGGGUGAGACCUGGGAUCCACAUUUUCAGCAAAUGCUCUGAAGACCCAAGGCACACUAGUGUAGGAACCACUGUCUUAGAAGGUCUUUGAUGCUGGGGGAUUAGGGGGUGGGACCCAGGGCCUCAGUCUUCCUCCUAACUCAAAAUCUCUGGCGCACACUCCAUCUCUGCCCUUUCCUCCAGCCCAGUUACAUCCCGCUUUUGACACGCCCCUAUUCCUUUCUCCCCGAGGG
Molecule: non-coding RNA, 1874 nt
Organism: Ceratotherium simum simum (southern white rhinoceros)
Lineage: Eukaryota; Metazoa; Chordata; Mammalia; Perissodactyla; Rhinocerotidae
Source: RefSeq, a predicted model, not a curated record